Molecule: ribosomal RNA, 253 nt
Filed under: uncultured bacterium
Lineage: Bacteria
Description: partial 16S ribosomal RNA
Rfam family: Bacterial small subunit ribosomal RNA
Source: RNAcentral
UACGAAGGGUGCAAGCGUUACUCGGAAUUACUGGGCGUAAAGCGUGCGUAGGUGGUUUUUUAAGUCCGUUGUGAAAGCCCUGGGCUCAACCUGGGAAUGGCAGUGGAUACUGGAAAGCUAGAGUGCGGUAGAGGGUAGUGGAAUUCCCGGUGUAGCAGUGAAAUGCGUAGAGAUGCGGAGGAACACCAGUGGCGAAAGCGGCUUUCUGGUCCUUAACUGACGCUGAGGCGCGAAAGCAUGGGGAGCGAACGGG